GCUUAACACAUGCAAGUCGAGGCCUUGCAUGGUCUUAGCUUGCUAAGGCCGAUGGCGACCGGCGCACGGGUGAGUAACACGUAUCCAACCUGCCGUCUACUCUUGGACAGCCUUCUGAAAGGAAGAUUAAUACAAGAUGGCAUCAUGAGUUCGCAUGUUCACAUGAUUAAAGGUAUUCCGGUAGACGAUGGGGAUGCGUUCCAUUAGAUAGUAGGCGGGGUAACGGCCCACCUAGUCUUCGAUGGAUAGGGGUUCUGAGAGGAAGGUCCCCCACAUUGGAACUGAGACACGGUCCAAACUCCUACGGGAGGCAGCAGUGAGGAAUAUUGGUCAAUGGGCGGAGGCCUGAACCAGCCAAGUAGCGUGAAGGAUGACUGCCCUAUGGGUUGUAAACUUCUUUUAUAAAGGAAUAAAGUCGGGUAUGUAUACCCGUUUGCAUGUACUUUAUGAAUAAGGAUCGGCUAACUCCGUGCCAGCAGCCGCGGUAAUACGGAGGAUCCGAGCGUUAUCCGGAUUUAUUGGGUUUAAAGGGAGCGUAGAUGGAUGUUUAAGUCAGUUGUGAAAGUUUGCGGCUCAACCGUAAAAUUGCAGUUGAUACUGGAUAUCUUGAGUGCAGUUGAGGCAGGCGGAAUUCGUGGUGUAGCGGUGAAAUGCUUAGAU
Molecule: ribosomal RNA, 660 nt
Filed under: uncultured organism
Description: SSU rRNA
Rfam family: Bacterial small subunit ribosomal RNA
Source: RNAcentral